UCGGAGGAAGGUGGGGAUGACGUCAAAUCAUCAUGCCCCUUUAUGACCUGGGCUACACACGUGCUACAAUGGUCGGUACAACGAGAAGCAAGUCAGCGAUGGCAAGCAAAUCUCUAAAAGCCGAUCCCAGUUCGGAUUGCAGGCUGCAACUCGCCUGCAUGAAGUCGGAGUUGCUAGUAAUCGCGGAUCAGAAUGCCGCGGUGAAUGCGUUCCCGGGUCUU
RNAcentral lists this ribosomal RNA (221 nucleotides) under uncultured Eubacteriales bacterium. Its description in RNAcentral is "uncultured Clostridiales bacterium partial 16S ribosomal RNA". It matches the Rfam family "Bacterial small subunit ribosomal RNA", at positions 1163 to 1382 of the family's 1533-position model. Lineage: Bacteria; Bacillati; Bacillota; Clostridia; Eubacteriales. The record is from RNAcentral.